Molecule: ribosomal RNA, 497 nt
Filed under: uncultured bacterium
Lineage: Bacteria
Description: partial 16S ribosomal RNA
Rfam family: Bacterial small subunit ribosomal RNA
Source: RNAcentral
GAUGAACGCUGGCGGCGUGCCUAAUACAUGCAAGUCGAGCGAACGGACGAGGAGCUUGCUUCUCUGACGUUAGCGGCGGACGGGUGAGUAACACGUGGAUAACCUACCUAUAAGACUGGGAUAACUUCGGGAAACCGGAGCUAAUACCGGAUAAUAUUUUGAACCGCAUGGUUCAAAAGUGAAAGACGGUCUUGCUGUCACUUAUAGAUGGAUCCGCGCUGCAUUAGCUAGUUGGUAAGGUAACGGCUUACCAAGGCAACGAUGCAUAGCCGACCUGAGAGGGUGAUCGGCCACACUGGAACUGAGACACGGUCCAGACUCCUACGGGAGGCAGCAGUGGGGAAUCUUCCGCAAUGGGCGAAAGCCUGACGGAGCAACGCCGCGUGAGUGAUGAAGGUCUUCGGAUCGUAAAACUCUGUUAUUAGGGAAGAACAUAUGUGUAAGUAACUGUGCACAUCUUGACGGUACCUAAUCAGAAAGCCACGGCUAACUACGUG